UGUUUGGUUUGACCACUGCUCAUUUCUCCCUUUCGCCUUCGUGCCACUGUCUCUCUCUCUCUCCCAUUUUUACUAUUCUUCUCAUCUCUUUUUUCUCUCCCUCAAAACUCUCUCUCACUUAGCUUUUGCAAUUUGCCAUAUUUGACUUGUUGAGCCUCUAAUCAGGCACUCCAGGAUUCGUUUUGCUUAGCUCAAUUCGUCUACAGGGACUUGUAUGAGCUGCUUUUUCAAGAAUUCAAAUUUAUCAGUGCAGCUAUAGAUAAUUUGCGCACGAAUGGGCUGUUUCACAGUUUUAAAAAGUAAAAAG
Carica papaya (papaya) is the source of this 307-nucleotide non-coding RNA. NCBI's taxonomy places the organism in Eukaryota, Viridiplantae, Streptophyta, Magnoliopsida, Brassicales, Caricaceae. The record is from RefSeq and is a predicted model, not a curated record.